AGGGAUCUGUUUCUGUUAGCAUGACUCUAUUCCAAUCCAGGCUGUGCUUUGUGUGUUCGCAUUUGACAUCAGGUCAUAAAGAUGGAGCUGAACAAAGACGCAACGCCGAUGUGUACGAAAUUAUCCGACGAACACGUUUCUCAUCUGUCAUUGAUACAGAUAAAUCACAAACAAUCCCAUCUCAUGAGUAAGCAAAAUGUCAACCAAUUUUCUUAUCAAUAUAUUCAACCCGAAACAUUAAUGUGUGCCAAUAGUGGCCUCUGUCAACAGUCAGAUAUUUUGGUUUGGGGAUCUGAACUAUCGUCUUAGCAUGUCGGACACUAAGGUGAGAAAACUUGUUGCUCUAAAGCGCUGGGAUGAACUACUCAACAAUGAUCAGGUCAGUAUCACAAUAACUUUGUUAAUGGCUUCAAGAGAAACGAUGUUAAUGGCUUGGAUUCUGUGGCACAGCUUCAUAAUGAACUGCAUAGCGGGCACGUUUUCAAUGGAUGGAGAGAAGGGGUCAUAGGCUUUCCUCCUACCUACAAGUAUGAAAUGAAUUUUGAUAGAUAUGUUGGCGAGAACCCUAAAGAAGGGGAGAAGAAGAGAUCUCCAGCAUGGUAAGUAUGAGUUUCUACAAAAGUACCCGGACAAGAAACCUAUGUUGCUCUGGCUCUUAUUUUUCCAUAUCUUGACAUGAGUACUGAGAUAUAACCCUCUGAAAACCCUUUACAAACAGGAAAAAGCUAAGAAAAAGUGAACAUCCUUGUGUUGGACACAUAAAGUGUCCAACAUUCACACUCAAAUCUGAGUAAUUUAGCAAGAAACCAGAUAUAAGAGUUUCGCAAAGUUUCUGAAAGCACAACAAACCUGGCACAGUGGUAACUGAUAAUUAAUUAAGUUCUGUAUAUGCUUACCUUGGUAGGUGUGAUCGUAUACUCUGGUAUGGUAAAGGCAUAAAACAACUUUCUUAUCAACGAGCAGAAAUAAGACUCUCUGAUCAUCGACCUGUCAGUUCAAUGUUUUUACUCGAAGUUGAAGUAUUGGACCAUCGGAAGUUGC
This 1041-nucleotide long non-coding RNA is filed under the name Gossypium barbadense (sea-island cotton). Its description in RNAcentral is "long non-coding RNA (GBAR_LNC008583)". Lineage: Eukaryota; Viridiplantae; Streptophyta; Magnoliopsida; Malvales; Malvaceae. The record is from RNAcentral.